This 506-nucleotide ribosomal RNA is filed under the name uncultured bacterium. RNAcentral describes it as "partial 16S ribosomal RNA". It matches the Rfam family "Bacterial small subunit ribosomal RNA", at positions 30 to 523 of the family's 1533-position model. The record is from RNAcentral.
AUUGAACGCUGGCGGCAGGCCUAACACAUGCAAGUCGAACGGUAGCAGGAAGAAGCUUGCUUCUUUGCUGACGAGUGGCGGACGGGUGAGUAAUGUCUGGGAAACUGCCUGAUGGAGGGGGAUAACUACUGGAGACGGUAGCUAAUACCGCAUAACGUCGCAAGACCAAAGAGGGGGACCUUCGGGCCUCUCGCCAUCAGAUGUGCCCAGAUGGGAUUAGCUAGUAGGUGGGGUAACGGCUCACCUAGGCGACGAUCCCUAGCUGGUCUGAGAGGAUGACCAGCCACACUGGAACUGAGACACGGUCCAGACUCCUACGGGAGGCAGCAGUGGGGAAUAUUGCACAAUGGGCGCAAGCCUGAUGCAGCCAUGCCGCGUGUGUGAAGAAGGCCUUCGGGUUGUAAAGCACUUUCAGCGGGGAGGAAGGGGGAAUGGUUAAUAACCAUUGCCAUUGACGUUACCCGCAGAAGAAGCACCGGCUAACUCCGUGCCAGCAGCCGCCGUAA